GAUGAACGCUGGCGGCGUGCCUAAUACAUGCAAGUCGAGCGAAUGGAUUAAGAGCUUGCUCUUAUGAAGUUAGCGGCGGACGGGUGAGUAACACGUGGGUAACCUGCCCAUAAGACUGGGAUAACUCCGGGAAACCGGGGCUAAUGCCGGAUAACAUUUUGAACCGCAUGGUUCGAAAUUGAAAGGCGGCUUCGGCUGUCACUUAUGGAUGGACCCGCGUCGCAUUAGCUAGUUGGUGAGGUAACGGCUCACCAAGGCAACGAUGCGUAGCCGACGUGAGCGGGGGAUCGGCCACACUGGGACUGAGACACGGCCCAGACUCCUACGGGAGGCAGCAGUAGGGAAUCUUCCGAAAUGGACGAAAGUCUGACGGAGCAACGCCGCGUGAGUGAUGAAGGCUUUCGGGUCGUAAAACUCUGUUGUUAGGGAAGAACAAGUGCUAGUUGAAUAAGCUGGCACCUUGACGGUACCUAACCAGAAAGCCACGGCUAACUACGUGCCAGCCGCCGCGGUAA
This 515-nucleotide ribosomal RNA is filed under the name uncultured bacterium. Its description in RNAcentral is "partial 16S ribosomal RNA". It matches the Rfam family "Bacterial small subunit ribosomal RNA", at positions 28 to 523 of the family's 1533-position model. The record is from RNAcentral.